GUGUGUGUGUGUGUGUGUGUGUGUGUGUGUGUGUUAGGCCUAUAUUACAGUUUGAAAAUGUAAACGAGCAAAAUGCCUUUUCGAUUACUAAAUCCGUAUCCAAAACUGAAUGGGCAACCAUGAUUCCCAUCCACUUACAUUAUAAGACUGAUAGACUGCAACGGUUUGAGCUAAAAAUCUUGGUUUGUGUUCUACUGAAGAAACAAAGUGACCUACAUCUUGGAUGCCCUGGGGGUAAGCAGAUAAACAUUAAAUAUUCAUUUUUGGGUGUACUAUCCCUUUAACAACUGUCAAGAUCACCAGCUGGAGCGCUCUUGAUAGCCACCAGAGGGGACUCCAUACUCCAUACUCCAUAGCCUCUCCGCAAGAUGGCCACCAUGCCAGAGUCUCCAGCCAUUAUGGACAUCAUGCCAGAGUCUUCAGCUGUCAUUGACGCCAUGCCAGUGUUCCCAUCCAUAAAGAAUGUUCCACCUGAAGCUAAUAGGCAGUGCCCAGGAAACCAAGACUGAUGUCCAUUGUGGGGGAUCCACCAUUGAUGUUGGUGCAAGCAGUAGGCAUCUCAGUGGUUUCAGCACUCUCAAGCCCGGUGAUCUCAGAGGUUCUGCCACCCUCCAAUGCCCUUUCAGUAAUGGAAUAGACACACUUCUGAUGCUGUGGUGACCGCAAGUCUAUUCCAGAGCCCGCUCCAGUCCUUAAAUCAACACCAGAAUCCACUCAAGCCCCAGAGCUCAGUCCUGUGUUGGGGCCAGCCUUUCUGCUUGAUCCGCCUUGGUGGACAUCUGAUCAACCUGAGCCAUAUUGGUGGUCCCCUGCACCAUCAGCACAGCUGAAGUGGUCCUCAGUUCCAUCAGCUCCACCCUGGUGGUCUUCUGCUCCAUCAUGGGGAUCUUCAGUCGUGUCUGCUCUGCUGUGGUAGUCUUCUGCUUUGCCGGCUCUGUCCUGGUGGUCUUCGGCUCCAUCCUGGCUGUUUGGAAGCCACUCCUUCAGGGGAGGAGGAUGGGCUAUGUCACGAUCACCAGCUAGAAUGCUCUUGAAUGCACUCCAUACCAUACCUUUUCCACUCUUUCAAGGACUUCAUUCCCCAUAAUCCUCUGCCCAGUCUCAUCAGCGCUCAUUGUUUGCACCUGUGUCUCAUUAGCAUGGUUAGCUCAUCCUAUAUAACCAGGUUCUCACUGCCAUUCUUUGCUAAGUCUUGUAUGUUUUUUUACUGCAAUUAUAAGCCUUGUAUCCUGGUUCUCCCAUAUCUUGG
Cyprinus carpio carpio is the source of this 1249-nucleotide long non-coding RNA. The record is from Ensembl. Lineage: Eukaryota; Metazoa; Chordata; Actinopteri; Cypriniformes; Cyprinidae.